AGCGAACGCUGGCGGCAGGCCUAACACAUGCAAGUCGAACGAACUCUUCGGAGUUAGUGGCGGACGGGUGAGUCACCCGUGGGAACGUUACCUUAGGUUCGGCAUAACUCUGGGAAACUUGUGCUUAUACCGAAUGUGCGCUUCGGGGGAAAGAUUUAUUGCCUUUGGUGCGGCCCUCGUCUGAUUCGAUUGUGGGGGAGGUUAUGGAUCAACAAGGGGACGAUUAGUAGCUUGUUAGAGAGACUGAUCAGCCACAGUGAGACUGAGACGCGGCCCGAACUCCUACGCGAUGCGGCAGUGCGGAAUCGAGCAAAAUGGGCUAAGGCCUGACGCAGCCAGGCCGCUAAAAUGAUGAAAGUCGUAGGAUUGUAAAAUGCUUUUACCUGGGACGAUAAUGACGGUACCCGGAGAAGAAGCCCCGGCUAACUACGUG
This 433-nucleotide ribosomal RNA is filed under the name uncultured bacterium. RNAcentral's name for it is "partial 16S ribosomal RNA". It matches the Rfam family "Bacterial small subunit ribosomal RNA", at positions 29 to 507 of the family's 1533-position model. The record is from RNAcentral.